This 119-nucleotide ribosomal RNA is filed under the name Pteropus alecto (black flying fox). The record is from RNAcentral. Lineage: Eukaryota; Metazoa; Chordata; Mammalia; Chiroptera; Pteropodidae.
GUCUACAGCCAUGCUACCCUGAACAAGCCCGAUCUUGUCUGAUCUCAGAAGCUAAGCAGGGUCAGGUCUGGUUAGUACUUGGAUGGGAGACCACCUAGGAACACCAGGUGCUAUAGUUG